GGGGUCGACAUGGAUUUGACAGCAGGAUGAUGUGUUGCGUAAGCAUGCAGAGAGUUGUUGGCCGCUCUCUAUAAUCAAUGACUGACAAAGUUUAACUGGCGAAAACAAUUACGCUCUCGCUGCUUAAUCGAAGUACAGUAGAUUCGGCUUAAUUCCGACCCAAGGGGUUGGAACGGGAUGUCUCUCCAAGCACUCUUGCUCCGAAGCGCUUGGGUACAGAGGCACUGGAAACUCGGAGAUAGCCUUGGGCAGCCUCGUGCCUGUGGCGAAAAUUUAGAGGAUAAGGCGUCGGUUGGUGGUUCGGGUCUUGCCGCCGCACGAAAACGAAGUCCGGAAUAAGCAUGUAGAAAGCGCAGGAUGUCCCUGUAUGGACGAGGGUUCAAUCCCCUCCGGCUCCACAU
Molecule: transfer-messenger RNA, 401 nt
Filed under: Bacteroidaceae bacterium
Lineage: Bacteria; Pseudomonadati; Bacteroidota; Bacteroidia; Bacteroidales; Bacteroidaceae
Rfam family: transfer-messenger RNA
About the family: Bacterial tmRNA, also known as 10Sa RNA or SsrA, is named for its dual tRNA and mRNA-like properties. Its role is to liberate the mRNA from a stalled ribosome. To accomplish this part of the tmRNA is used as a reading frame that ends in a translation stop signal.
Source: RNAcentral